UAACGGCCCACCAAGCCUUCGAUGGAUAGGGGUUCUGAGAGGAAGGUCCCCCACAUUGGAACUGAGCCACGAUCCAACUCUAUACGGGAGGCAGCAGUGAGGAAUAUUGGUCAAUGGACGAGAGUCUGAACCAGCCAAGUAGCGUGAAGGAUGACUGCCUAUGGGUUGUAAACUUCUUUUAUACGGGAAUAAGUGAGGCACGUGUGCCUUUUUGUAUGUACCGUAUGAAUAAGGAUCGGCUAACUCCGUGCCAGCAGCCGCGGUAAUACGGAGGAUCCGAGCGUUAUCCGGAUUUAUUGGGUUUAAAGGGAGCGUAGGCGGACGCUUAAGUCAGUUGUGAAAGUUUGCGGCUCAACCGUAAAAUUGCAGUUGAUACUGGGUGUCUUGAGUACAGUAGAGGCAGGCGGAAUUCGUGGUGUAGCGGUGAAAUGCUUAGAUAUCACGAAGAACUCCGAUUGCGAAGGCAGCUUGCUGGACUGUAACUGACGCUGAUGCUCGAAAGUGUGGGUAUCAAA
This 515-nucleotide ribosomal RNA is filed under the name uncultured bacterium. RNAcentral's name for it is "bacterial SSU rRNA". It matches the Rfam family "Bacterial small subunit ribosomal RNA", at positions 258 to 772 of the family's 1533-position model. The record is from RNAcentral.